AUUGAACGCUGGCGGCAGGCCUAACACAUGCAAGUCGAACGGUAACAGGAAACAGCUUGCUGUUUCGCUGACGAGUGGCGGACGGGUGAGUAAUGUCUGGGAAACUGCCUGAUGGAGGGGGAUAACUACUGGAAACGGUAGCUAAUACCGCAUAACGUCGCAAGACCAAAGAGGGGGACCUUUGGGCCUCUUGCCAUCGGAUGUGCCCAGAUGGGAUUAGCUAGUAGGUGGGGUAACGGCUCACCUAGGCGACGAUCCCUAGCUGGUCUGAGAGGAUGACCAGCCACACUGGAACUGAGACACGGUCCAGACUCCUACGGGAGGCAGCAGUGGGGAAUAUUGCACAAUGGGCGCAAGCCUGAUGCAGCCAUGCCGCGUGUAUGAAGAAGGCCUUCGGGUUGUAAAGUACUUUCAGCGGGGAUGAAGGGAGUAAAGUUAAUACCUUGGCUCAUUGACGUUACCCGCAGAAGAAGCACCGGCUAACUCCGUG
This 490-nucleotide ribosomal RNA is filed under the name uncultured bacterium. Its description in RNAcentral is "partial 16S ribosomal RNA". It matches the Rfam family "Bacterial small subunit ribosomal RNA", at positions 30 to 507 of the family's 1533-position model. The record is from RNAcentral.